CAAUAUGACUCUCGGCAACGGAUAUCUCGGCUCUCGCAUCGAUGAAGAACGUAGCAAAAUGCGAUACCUGGUGUGAAUUGCAGAAUCCCGUGAACCAUCGAGUUUUUGAACGCAAGUUGCGCCCGAGGCCUUUUGGUCAAGGGCACGUCUGCCUGGGCGUCACG
RNAcentral lists this ribosomal RNA (164 nucleotides) under Gymnopogon grandiflorus. Its description in RNAcentral is "5.8S ribosomal RNA". It matches the Rfam family "5.8S ribosomal RNA". From Rfam's summary of the family: 5.8S ribosomal RNA (5.8S rRNA) is a component of the large subunit of the eukaryotic ribosome. It is transcribed by RNA polymerase I as part of the 45S precursor that also contains 18S and 28S rRNA. Lineage: Eukaryota; Viridiplantae; Streptophyta; Magnoliopsida; Poales; Poaceae. The record is from RNAcentral.